This 250-nucleotide long non-coding RNA is filed under the name Homo sapiens (human). Lineage: Eukaryota; Metazoa; Chordata; Mammalia; Primates; Hominidae. The record is from RNAcentral.
CUCUGAGCUCUGUGCCCUCCGUUCAUUCCAUGGCUGGGAGUCAGUGAUGCUGCCUCUGCCUUCUGAUGCUGGACUGGCCUUGCUUCUACAAGUAUGCUUCUCCCACAGCUGUGGCUGCAGGAACUUAAUUUAUAGGGAGGAGCCUGUGGCAGCUGCUGCCCCAGCCACAGCUGCACUGACUGUGCUCACCACACAUCUGGGGCAGCCUUCCCUGGCAGAGGCCCUCAUGGCUUCUCAUUUUCCAUUCCCU